GGGCGGUUAGCUCAGCUGGGAGAGCAUUUGCCUUACAAGCAAGGGGUCAGAGGUUCAAAUCCUCUACCGCCCA
This 73-nucleotide transfer RNA is filed under the name Spirochaetota bacterium. RNAcentral describes it as "Spirochaetes bacterium (freshwater sediment metagenome) tRNA-Val". It matches the Rfam family "tRNA". From Rfam's summary of the family: Transfer RNA (tRNA) molecules are approximately 80 nucleotides in length. Lineage: Bacteria; Pseudomonadati; Spirochaetota. The record is from RNAcentral.